This 274-nucleotide ribosomal RNA is filed under the name uncultured bacterium. Its description in RNAcentral is "partial 16S ribosomal RNA". It matches the Rfam family "Bacterial small subunit ribosomal RNA", at positions 523 to 796 of the family's 1533-position model. The record is from RNAcentral.
AUACGGAGGGUGCAAGCGUUAUCCGGAAUCAUUGGGUUUAAAGGGUCCGCAGGCGGUCAAUUAAGUCAGAGGUGAAAGCCCAUCGCUCAACGAUGGAACUGCCUUUGAUACUGGUUGACUUGAGUUAUACGGAAGUAGAUAGAAUAAGUAGUGUAGCGGUGAAAUGCAUAGAUAUUACUUAGAAUACCGAUUGCGAAGGCAGUCUACUACGUAUAUACUGACGCUGAGGGACGAAAGCGUGGGGAGCGAACAGGAUUAGAUACCCUAGUAGUCC